UACGUAGGGACCAAGCGUUGUCCGGAAUCAUUGGGCGUAAAGAGCGUGUAGGCGGCUUGUUAAGUCUUGUGUGAAAUCUCGGGGCUCAACCCCGAGCGGUCGUGAGAAACUGGCAGGCUAGAGUGCGGGAGAGGAGAGUGGAAUUCCUGGUGUAGCGGUGAAAUGCGCAGAUAUCAGGAAGAACACCCGUGGCGAAGGCGGCUCUCUGGAACGCAACUGACGCUGAGACGCGAAAGCGUGGGGAGCAAACAGG
RNAcentral lists this ribosomal RNA (253 nucleotides) under uncultured bacterium. Its description in RNAcentral is "partial 16S ribosomal RNA". It matches the Rfam family "Bacterial small subunit ribosomal RNA", at positions 524 to 776 of the family's 1533-position model. The record is from RNAcentral.